AUAAGAUUUUUUUUUUUUUUUUUGAGAUAGAUUGAUAGCAUGCCACAUAUUUUAUUUAGAAAUAAACUUAGUUGGCAAGGUGAAUCAAUUCGGAUUCGAACUUGGAACCUCGAAUACCAACCACCAAGCCUUUUGUCACUUGCGCUAGAGACGGUCGAUUACAUCAUAAUAGGAUUUUGACAAGUAAACUUGCUAUAUAUAGACCCAUUUUUUUUUUCACAUACACAACUCUCUCAAUGGACAAAAUUGUAUAAAUAUUCAUACAAAGUUUGUGUCUACGUGGGUGCCCUUGAAAAUCAUACUUAUUGGCAUUCAUGCAUCUGAUCAAAAUUUUAUACUAAAAUUAUAAGUAUAUAUCUGAAGUUAUUUUUCAAAAAGAUAUUGGAUAAAUUAUGCGCAUGAAUAAAUAAUAAUUGCAGAGGUAAACAUAUAAACACUAACUUUGUAGGAAUAUUUGCACAAUUUGUAUGAUCAAAGUGUUAUAUAACAAAAAAUGCUUAAAAAUA
RNAcentral lists this long non-coding RNA (506 nucleotides) under Ananas comosus (pineapple). Its description in RNAcentral is "long non-coding RNA (ACOM_LNC018966)". The record is from RNAcentral. Lineage: Eukaryota; Viridiplantae; Streptophyta; Magnoliopsida; Poales; Bromeliaceae.